AAGAUUAAGCCAUGCAUGUCUAAGUAUAAGCAAGUUAUACCGUGAAACUGCGAAUGGCUCAUUAAAUCAGUUAUUGUUUAUUUGAUAGUACCUUACUACUUGGAUAACCGUGGUAAUUCUAGAGCUAAUACAUGCUAAAAGCCCCGACUUCGGAAGGGGUGUAUUUAUUAGAUAAAAACCAAUGCCCCUCGGGGCUCCUUGGUGAUUCAUAAUAACUUAACGAAUCGCAU
RNAcentral lists this ribosomal RNA (230 nucleotides) under uncultured fungus. RNAcentral's name for it is "partial 18S ribosomal RNA". It matches the Rfam family "Eukaryotic small subunit ribosomal RNA", at positions 40 to 274 of the family's 1831-position model. Lineage: Eukaryota; Fungi. The record is from RNAcentral.